UACGGGGGGAGCAAGCGUUGUUCGGAUUUACUGGGCGUAAAGGGCGCGUAGGCGGUCGUGACAAGUCACUUGUGAAAUCUCCGGGCUUAACUCGGAACGGUCAAGUGAUACUGUCGGACUAGAGUACAGAAGGGGCAACUGGAAUUCUCGGUGUAGCGGUGAAAUGCGUAGAUAUCGAGAGGAACACCGAUGGCGAAGGCAGCCUUCUGGGCCAACACUGACGCUCAUGCACGAAAGCGUGGGGAGCAAACAGG
This 254-nucleotide ribosomal RNA is filed under the name uncultured bacterium. Its description in RNAcentral is "partial 16S ribosomal RNA". It matches the Rfam family "Bacterial small subunit ribosomal RNA", at positions 524 to 776 of the family's 1533-position model. The record is from RNAcentral.